AGUUUACAACUCCCAAACCCCUGUGAACAUACCAAUUGUUGCCUCGGCGGAUCAGCCCGCUCCCGGUAAAACGGGACGGCCCGCCAGAGGACCCCUAAACUCUGUUUCUAUAUGUAACUUCUGAGUAAAACCAUAAAUAAAUCAAAACUUUCAACAACGGAUCUCUUGGUUCUGGCAUCGAUGAAGAACGCAGCAAAAUGCGAUAAGUAAUGUGAAUUGCAGAAUUCAGUGAAUCAUCGAAUCUUUGAACGCACAUUGCGCCCGCCAGUAUUCUGGCGGGCAUGCCUGUUCGAGCGUCAUUUCAACCCUCAAGCCCAGCUUGGUGUUGGGACUCGCGAGUCAAAUCGCGUUCCCCAAAUUGAUUGGCGGUCACGUCGAGCUUCCAUAGCGUAGUAGUAAAACCCUCGUUACUGGUAAUCGUCGCGGCCACGCCGUUAAACCCCAACUUCUGAAUGUUGACCUCGGAUCAGGUAGGAAUACCC
Molecule: ribosomal RNA, 482 nt
Filed under: Fusarium sp. MR-2013
Lineage: Eukaryota; Fungi; Ascomycota; Sordariomycetes; Hypocreales; Nectriaceae
Description: eukaryotic LSU rRNA
Rfam family: 5.8S ribosomal RNA (bases 146-299)
Source: RNAcentral